This 442-nucleotide ribosomal RNA is filed under the name uncultured bacterium. RNAcentral describes it as "partial 16S ribosomal RNA". It matches the Rfam family "Bacterial small subunit ribosomal RNA", at positions 338 to 795 of the family's 1533-position model. The record is from RNAcentral.
CCUACGGGAGGCAGCAGUAGGGAAUCUUUCACAAUGGGCGAAAGCCUGAUGGAGCAACGCCGCGUGCAGGAUGAAGGCCUUCGGGUUGUAAACUGCUUUUAUAAGCGAGAAAUAUGAUGGUAACUUAUGAAUAAGGAUUGGCUAACUACGUGCCAGCAGCCGCGGUCAUACGUAGGAUCCGAGCAUUAUCCGGAGUGACUGGGUGUAAAGAGUUGCGUAGGUGGCAUAAUAAGUAGCUAGUGAAAUCUGGUGGCUCAACCAUUCAGACUAUUAGCUAAACUGUUAAGCUCGAGACCGUUAGGGGUAACUGGAAUUUCUAGUGUAGGAGUGAAAUCCGUAGAUAUUAGAAGGAACACCAAUAGCGUAGGCAGGUUGCUGGGACGGUUCUGACACUAAGGCACGAAAGCGUAGGGAGCAAACAGGAUUAGAUACCCCGGUAGUC